CCAGCUCCAAUAGCGUAUAUUUAAGUUGUUGCAGUUAAAAAGCUCGUAGUUGGAUUUCGGGUGAACCUCGCCGGUCCGCCAUUGGUGAGCACUGGCGGGGGUUACCUUCCUGCCGGGGACGGGCUCCUGGGCUUAAUUGUCCGGGACUCGGAGUCGGCGUUGCUACUUUGAGUAAAACGGAGUGUUCAAAGCAGGCCUACGCCUUGAACGAUAUAGCAUGGAAUAGCGUGAUAGGACUCUAGUCCAUUACGUUGGUCUGUGGACCUGGAGUAAUGAUUAAUAGGGACAGUCGGGGGCAUUAGUAUUUCAUUGUCAGAGGUGAAAUUCUUGGAUUUAUGAAAGACUAACUUCUGCGAAAGCAUUUGCCAAGGAUGUUUUCA
This 380-nucleotide ribosomal RNA is filed under the name uncultured Oedogonium. Its description in RNAcentral is "SSU rRNA". It matches the Rfam family "Eukaryotic small subunit ribosomal RNA", at positions 585 to 972 of the family's 1831-position model. The record is from RNAcentral. Lineage: Eukaryota; Viridiplantae; Chlorophyta; Chlorophyceae; Oedogoniales.